Molecule: non-coding RNA, 73 nt
Organism: Necator americanus (New World hookworm)
Lineage: Eukaryota; Metazoa; Nematoda; Chromadorea; Rhabditida; Ancylostomatidae
Source: Rfam
GGCCUUGUGUCCUAAUGGAUAAGGCGUCGGACUUCGGAUCCGAAGAUUGCAGGUUCGAGUCCAGCCAGGGUCG